Non-coding RNA from Triticum aestivum (bread wheat), 135 nucleotides. The record is from Rfam. Lineage: Eukaryota; Viridiplantae; Streptophyta; Magnoliopsida; Poales; Poaceae.
GUAGUAUUCCCUCCGUCCCAAAAUUCUUGUCUUACAUUUGUGUAGAUACGGAUGUACCUAACACUAAAAUGUAACUAGAUACAUCCGUAUUUAGACAAAUUUAAGACAAGAAUUUUGGGACGGAGGGAGUACAAA